Acanthosepion pharaonis is the source of this 113-nucleotide non-coding RNA. Lineage: Eukaryota; Metazoa; Mollusca; Cephalopoda; Sepiida; Sepiidae. The record is from the annotation of a GenBank genome assembly.
UUACGGCCAUAUCACGUUGAAACACCAGUUCCCGUAGGAUCACCGAAGUUAGCAACGUCGAGUCUGGUUAGUACUUAGAUGGGUGACUACUUGAGAAUAUCAGGUGCUGUAAG